CAUGCAGGCGGUUCGCUAAGUUGGAUGUGAAAGCUCCCGGCUUAACUGGGAGAGGUCGUUCAAGACUGACGAACUCGAGGAUGGUAAGGGAAAGCGGAAUUCCGGGUGUAGUGGUGAAAUGCGUAGAUAUCCGGAGGAACACCAGUGGCGAAGGCGGCUUUCUGGACCAUGACUGACGCUCAGAUGCGAAAGCUAGGGUAGCAAACGGGAUUAGAGACCCCGGUAGUCCUAGCCGUAAACGAUGUGAACUUGGCGGUGGAUGGGUAAAACCGAUCACUGCCGCAGCUAACGCGAUAAGUUCACCACCUGGGGACUACGGCCGCAAGGUUAAA
RNAcentral lists this ribosomal RNA (332 nucleotides) under uncultured Longilinea sp. Its description in RNAcentral is "bacterial SSU rRNA". It matches the Rfam family "Bacterial small subunit ribosomal RNA", at positions 568 to 898 of the family's 1533-position model. The record is from RNAcentral. Lineage: Bacteria; Bacillati; Chloroflexota; Anaerolineae; Anaerolineales; Anaerolineaceae.